AAGUCGUAACAAGGUUUCCGUAGGUGAACCUGCGGAAGGAUCAUUACCUUUUCUGGCUAUUUUAAUUAAAGCCAUUCGUCGGGGGGUUAAUAAGUUCUCUAUAGCCUCUGACUGAAUCCGUGUUUUUCGCGUACUACAUGUUUCCUCGGCAGGCUUGCUUGCCGAUUUGGACAACCAUAAAACUCUUUGCAAUUGCAAUCAGCGUCUGAAUUAUUUAAUAAUUACAA
RNAcentral lists this unclassified non-coding RNA (227 nucleotides) under plant metagenome. RNAcentral's name for it is "partial contains small subunit ribosomal RNA and internal transcribed spacer 1". The stretch from base 1 to 46 matches the Rfam family "Eukaryotic small subunit ribosomal RNA", at positions 1786 to 1831 of the family's 1831-position model. The record is from RNAcentral.